UUUUUAUCACUGGUGACAGCAACCGCCUCCUCCAUCAUGUGACUCUGACAUCACUUCCUGCUGCCGCUGCUGUUGUUAGUCCCCCUCACCAUCCUCAUCUCCACAGUUGAGGAGCCACAAUGAUUGUGUUUCUUCUUCUGGGUCACCUGACAGGUUUCUGUCUGAGCGUUCACGUCACCCAGACUCCAGCUGCUGCCCUUCACAGGGAGGAUGGAAACGUCACCUUCACCUGCUCACACACUGAGGCAGGAUCCAGAGUGAUGCUGUGGUACCAGCGUUCACCCGGAGACAACGCCCUCAAACUCAUCGGAUACGGUUACGGAGAGUUCACCAGCAACAACAUAGAGGAGCCCUUCAAGGAGCAUUUCUCCCUGGAGGGAGACUUGAAUGGAAAAGUGAAAAUAGGUUACCUCUCCAUACAAAACCUGAAGCCGCUGGAGCACACGGCGGAGUAUAUCUGUGCAGUCAGAGAGGCACACUGUCUGAAAGAGCCACAGCUCUGAACAAAAACCUCCUGCUAUGGCCUCUUCCUGUUUCUCCUGUGGUUAAAAAGAGGCCCCGCCUCCUCGCUGAAGCCUCCACAAUGAGCAGCUCGUCUUAUCACAGAUGAUCAUCAGAGAAAAGGCUGUCGACUCCUCUGUGAGGAGUUCCAGAUCCAGAGAGGAG
Non-coding RNA from Oryzias melastigma (Indian medaka), 666 nucleotides. The record is from the annotation of a RefSeq genome assembly. Lineage: Eukaryota; Metazoa; Chordata; Actinopteri; Beloniformes; Adrianichthyidae.